RNAcentral lists this non-coding RNA (31 nucleotides) under Rattus norvegicus (Norway rat). The record is from RNAcentral. Lineage: Eukaryota; Metazoa; Chordata; Mammalia; Rodentia; Muridae.
UUGGUGGAAAGAUUAGGAAGAAUGCUGAAGC